Helianthus annuus (common sunflower) is the source of this 1241-nucleotide long non-coding RNA. RefSeq lists it as uncharacterized. The record is from RefSeq and is a predicted model, not a curated record. NCBI's taxonomy places the organism in Eukaryota, Viridiplantae, Streptophyta, Magnoliopsida, Asterales, Asteraceae. The transcript is spliced from 3 exons.
GGAGCGGCGGAGGAACGAGAGGAAUGGCUGGAUCCCCUUCUAAUCCACUCUCAGUUUCAUCCACGUCAGAGCUUGAGACUGAUGGUGAUGAUUUGGGUUUCUACAAGUGGUUUGAAAAGUUCAAGCAGAACCCAGAGAAAGAAGCAGCAGAUAAAAGAACACUAGUUAGCAAAUGGCACCCGACGACAAAGGGUACACUUUGACGAAACUACAGAGUCCAAUCGAAAACCCAGGGGCGUCGACUUCUAAAAGUCGUAGCCUCCUUACUUUCAGACGACGAUCACUUCAGAGACGCGAGAGCGCUCAUGGAGAAAGCGUAUGUUGCAACAACGUGAGAGCAUUAUUUGAUGAGCUCCCGACACCGCAUUUGGUUGUCGAGGUCUCUCCGUUCCCAGCUGGCCCGCUCACGGAAAGUGAUUACGCUAGAGCUGAAAAGUUGGAAAGAGUUCUUAGAUCGGGUCCUUCUGUUUGAUCAUCGUGUUGUCUGUAACAUAAUGUACAUAUACAUUUUCAUUUAAUCAUCAAAACUAGAUAAAUCAUGAAUGAUGUGAUUUCUAAGUUGAUUUUGUGUUUUUUCUAGGAGCGGCGCCGCCGCUCACGGUAGCGGCAAUGAAGACAUGCGACGGUGGUGGUGCUGUUUCGACAAGAUCUCCGGUAAGGUCAGACUCCGAUGUUGAUGGUGACGACGGCAGCCGACCGGCGCCGGAGCUGCACCGGCGACGACUGCAGUAGAGGUGAGUGUGUUUGGUUCAAGUUCGGCUUAGAUUUCGUGCGCAGAUUCUGAUGUGGUUUGAGUUUUGGUUCGGGUUCACUUCAGAUUUUGUCAGGUUUUCGGCUCGGUUUUGGGUCUCGGUCAAAGCUGGCCAGCCACGGUUCGGGUGUGGUUCGAAAGGUCAGAUUGUGGUUCGUGACAAUUUGGGUCAACUAGUCAAACCCGGUCAACUCGGUUCGAUGUCGGGUCAACUCAGUCAACGACAGUCAAAGGCUCGGUCAACGAACGUCAAAGUCAGUCAACUGGUCAAAGCCAGUCAACAAAAGUCAAUGGUCAAACUGCCGGUCAACAGCAGUCAACCAUGGUCAAAACCAGACCCGGUAACAAUUUAAACAAUGCGAAAAUCUUGUUUAUAUAGUUAUAGAUUUUUAGUUAUACGCGACCCGAGCUCGAACCGACUGGAUUAGAAAUUUGUUACGUUUUUACAUUUCGACGAAAACUAUAUAUAUUGAUAAUUGUGGUUGGUUUA